This 1515-nucleotide unclassified non-coding RNA is filed under the name Acanthaster planci (crown-of-thorns starfish). Its description in RNAcentral is "muscleblind-like protein 1, transcript variant X8". The record is from RNAcentral. Lineage: Eukaryota; Metazoa; Echinodermata; Asteroidea; Valvatida; Acanthasteridae.
AGACAGAAACUGCAUACAGCUCUCAGCACGGGAAAUUUAACAUGUGUAGGCCCUAGACGCCAUUAUUACUAGUAUUAUAAGUUCCGCUUCAUCAUAAGACAGCAGGUUGAUGUUACAUGUCUCUGGCUCUGGCAUUGUUUAUUCCAUCGGCGUUUGGCUUUGUCUGUGUCCCCUGGCUGCUUUGUUUCUCAGGGAAGUUUUGGAAGGAACUUGCAACUGCAAGAUGUCUGGAAUACCGUCUCUCUCAUCAAGGAUGGCCUACAAUUUCCUAUGCCCGGAUGUUGCGUCAAAUUUUCAGGGCCGCUGUACGCGAGAAGACUGCAAAUACCUGCACCCGCCACCCCACCUGAAGACCCAGCUGGAGAUCAACGGUAAGAACAGUAUCGCAGCCCAGAAGAUGCUGCAGAACUUUCACAACCAGCAGCUGCAGCUGCAGGCUGCUGCGGCAAGCAUGCAGCUGCAUCAACCCGGCGCCACCAUCUUGCCUACGCACCAGGCGCUCAACUCACUGGAGUUGGUUGGCUGUCCAACUUACCCGUACGACCACAUGGGACGAUACAACGCCAGCUGCACUAGAUGCUUACAAACUGAGGCACCAUCCCCAGCGUUGAGUACCUCUCCUGCCCUCAGUACAUCACCCGCUGUGUCUGAAUCAUCUUUCUACAGUACCUACUUCUACCCCAUGCCUGUUUCCAUGCCCACAGCCAACCAAGUGCCCAGUCAACUCAACUCUAUGUACUCACCAUAUCUGACAGCAGCUCCCACCAUGGCUCCAGCAAGUCAUAUGCAGGAUUUCCCCACACCUGGUCAGAUACUGACCCCAAAUGGAACUGUAAUACCCUACCUUCCACAGCGUCCCAAGAACGACAAGUUGGAAGUCUGUCGUGAGUUUCAGCGGGGCAACUGCUCGCGGGCGGAGUGUAAAUUUGCCCACCCUGCGGAGGGGGCUGCUAUAGAUCAGCUAGACAACACCGUCACCGUCUGUAUGGACUACAUCAAGGGGCGGUGUAGUCGCGACAAAUGCAAAUAUUUCCACCCGCCCGCGCAUCUCCAGACCAAAAUUAAGGCCGCCCAACAUAAUAACAACCAAGCUAGCGUUGUGCUUCCGACCACGCCUGAAACAAUCAGCAAGAAACGAGCCCGGGAGCCUGCCGAUGACAUCAUUCUGAAUCCUGCAUUGCCGGGACUCAUUCCACCACCCAAGAAGGGGGUGGGGGCCAUAUCACACCUAGCAACACAGAGUGUGAUUCAACACCACCCAACGAUGUACCAGCCAGGUCUACCUUCAUCAAUGCAGAUGAAUGGGCAGCCGUCACAUUAUCUACCGCCACCAAAGGUGUCAGUGAAUUGGCACUACCAAGGUUCAGGCAGCUGGGUUGCCCUUCCUGCUCAAACAUGGCAGAAAGCUACUCCAGAAGUCUGCUGAUACGAUACCAGUGUGUCGUGAUUUCAAGUCCGGUAGCUGCAAGAGGCCCAACUGUAGAUAUGCACACGUGACGGAAGACUACGUUGAAA